This 329-nucleotide long non-coding RNA is filed under the name Mytilus galloprovincialis (Mediterranean mussel). The record is from RNAcentral. Lineage: Eukaryota; Metazoa; Mollusca; Bivalvia; Mytilida; Mytilidae.
AAUUUUUAUUAGAAUAUUUAUAAUCAUGACACUUUUGCAUUAUUGAGUAUGAGUUCUUGAGAAGCGCUUUCAUAAACCACGCGUUUUGUUCAUAUCACUUGUAUCAAAGUGUGUGUGUUAUUUGUACAUUAUUUAGACUUUUUAGUCAAGCCAGUUUUAUUAACCUACAGCUAUGUGGCUAUUGCCAAGUGCUUUGACAAUCCAUCCUCUGUAAUGUUAUGUUAAAAUGAAUAUCACCAUUACAUCAGUCAAUUAUAUUUUGUAUAAAAUCAUAUUCCCAACAAUAUUCUUCCAUAGUUUAAUUACAAUUUGGAAAUAUUUGCCCAACA